GGUAGCGCAGCUAACGCGUGAAGUUGACCGCCUGGGGAGUACGGUCGCAAGAUUAAAACUCAAAGGAAUUGACGGGGACCCGCACAAGCGGUGGAUGAUGUGGAUUAAUUCGAUGCAACGCGAAAAACCUUACCUACCCUUGACAUGUCUGGAAUGCCGAAGAGAUUUGGCAGUGCUCGCAAGAGAACCGGAACACAGGUGCUGCAUGGCUGUCGUCAGCUCGUGUCGUGAGAUGUUGGGUUAAGUCCCGCAACGAGCGCAACCCUUGUCAUUAGUUGCUACGAAAGGGCACUCUAAUGAGACUGCCGGUGACAAACCGGAGGAAGGUGGGGAUGACGUCAAGUCCUCAUGGCCCUUAUGGGUAGGGCUUCACACGUCAUACAAUGGUCGGGACAGAGGGUCGCCAACCCGCGAGGGGGAGCCAAUCCCAGAAACCCGAUCGUAGUCCGGAUCGCAGUCUGCAACUCGACUGCGUGAAGUCGGAAUCGCUAGUAAUCGCGGAUCAGCAUGUCGCGGUGAAUACGUUCCCGGGUCU
RNAcentral lists this ribosomal RNA (535 nucleotides) under uncultured bacterium. RNAcentral describes it as "bacterial SSU rRNA". It matches the Rfam family "Bacterial small subunit ribosomal RNA", at positions 842 to 1381 of the family's 1533-position model. The record is from RNAcentral.